This 902-nucleotide ribosomal RNA is filed under the name Bacteroidota bacterium. RNAcentral describes it as "bacterial SSU rRNA". It matches the Rfam family "Bacterial small subunit ribosomal RNA", at positions 82 to 985 of the family's 1533-position model. Lineage: Bacteria; Pseudomonadati; Bacteroidota. The record is from RNAcentral.
GGUCUGGUGGCGACCGGCGCACGGGUGCGUAACGCGUAUGCAACCUGCCUUAUGCAGGGGGAUAGCCCAUGGAAACGUGGAUUAAUACCCCAUAGAAUCAAUGAUUCGCAUGGAUUAUUGAUUAAAACUUCGGUGGCAUAAGAUGGGCAUGCGUCUGAUUAGCUGGUUGGUGAGGUAACGGCUCACCAAGGCAACGAUCAGUAGGGGUUCUGAGAGGAUUAUCCCCCACACUGGUACUGAGACACGGACCAGACUCCUACGGGAGGCAGCAGUGAGGAAUAUUGGUCAAUGGGCGCGAGCCUGAACCAGCCAUCCCGCGUGCAGGAUGACGGCCCUAUGGGUUGUAAACUGCUUUUCUACGCCAAGAAACCUGAUUACGAGUAAUCAGUUGCCGGUAGCGUAGGAAUAAGCAUCGGCUAACUCCGUGCCAGCAGCCGCGGUAAUACGGAGGAUGCAAGCGUUAUCCGGAUUCAUUGGGUUUAAAGGGUGCGCAGGUGGGCUUGUAAGUCAGUGGUGAAAUACUGCCGCUUAACGGUAGAAUUGCCAUUGAUACUGCGAGUCUUGAGUAUGGUUGAGGUAGGCGGAAUGUGUUGUGUAGCGGUGAAAUGCAUAGAUAUGACACAGAACGCCGAUUGCGAAGGCAGCUUACUAAGCCAUUACUGACGCUGAGGCACGAAAGCGUGGGGAGCGAACAGGAUUAGAUACCCUGGUAGUCCACGCCGUAAACGAUGUUCACUCGCUGUUUGCGAUACACAGUAAGCGGCUGAGCGAAAGCAUUAAGUGAACCACCUGGGGAGUACGAUCGCAAGGUUGAAACUCAAAGGAAUUGACGGGGGCCCGCACAAGCGGAGGAACAUGUGGUUUAAUUCGAUGAUACGCGAGGAACCUUACCUGGGCUUAAA